ACAUCCAGAGAACUUAGCAGAGAUGCUUUUGGUGCCCUUCGGGAACUCUGAGACAGGUGCUGCAUGGCUGUCGUCAGCUCGUGUUGUGAAAUGUUGGGUUAAGUCCCGNAACGAGCGCAACCCUUUAUCCUUUGUUGCCAGCGGUUCGGCCGGGAACUCAAAGGAGACUGCCGGUGAUAAACCGGAGGGAGGUGGGGAUGACGUCAAGUCAUCAUGGCCCUUACGGCCAGGGCUACACACGUGCUACAAUGGCGCAUACAAAGAGAAGCGACCUCGCGAGAGCAAGCGGACCUCAUAAAGUGCGUCGUAGUCCGGAUUGGAGUCUGCAACUCGACUCCAUGAAGUCGGAAUCGCUAGUAAUCGUAGAUCAGAAUGCUACGGUGAAUACGUUCCCGGGCCUUGUACACACCGCCCGUCACACCAUGGGAGUGGGUUGCAAAAGAAGUAGGUAGCUUAACCUUCGGGAGGGCGCUUACCACUUUGUGAUUCAUGACUGGGGUGAAGUCGUAACAAGGUAAGCGUAGCGAG
This 528-nucleotide ribosomal RNA is filed under the name uncultured bacterium. Its description in RNAcentral is "bacterial SSU rRNA". It matches the Rfam family "Bacterial small subunit ribosomal RNA", at positions 984 to 1509 of the family's 1533-position model. The record is from RNAcentral.